This 459-nucleotide ribosomal RNA is filed under the name uncultured beta proteobacterium. RNAcentral's name for it is "bacterial SSU rRNA". It matches the Rfam family "Bacterial small subunit ribosomal RNA", at positions 341 to 792 of the family's 1533-position model. The record is from RNAcentral. Lineage: Bacteria; Pseudomonadati; Pseudomonadota; Betaproteobacteria.
ACGGGAGGCAGCAGUGGGGAAUUUUGGACAAUGGGGGCAACCCUGAUCCAGCCAUGCCGCGUGUGUGAAGAAGGCCUUCGGGUUGUAAAGCACUUUCGGCCGGAACGAAAUCGCGCGAUCUAAUAAGUCGCGUGGAUGACGGUACCGGAAGAAGAAGCACCGGCUAACUACGUGCCAGCAGCCGCGGUAAUACGUAGGGUGCGAGCGUUAAUCGGAAUUACUGGGCGUAAAGUGUGCGCAGGUGGCCGCGCAUGUCGAGUGUGAAAUCCCCGGGCUUAACUUGGGAAUUGCGCUCGAAACUACGUGGCUCGAGUGUGGCAGAGGAAGGUGGAAUUCCAGGUGUAGCGGUGAAAUGCGUAGAGAUCUGGAGGAACACCGAUGGCGAAGGCAGCCUUCUGGGCCAACACUGACGCUCAUGCACGAAAGCGUGGGGAGCAAACAGGAUUAGAUACCCUGGUA